RNAcentral lists this long non-coding RNA (1451 nucleotides) under Meleagris gallopavo (turkey). RNAcentral describes it as "lncRNA (ENSMGAG00000022194.1)". Lineage: Eukaryota; Metazoa; Chordata; Aves; Galliformes; Phasianidae. The record is from RNAcentral.
GCUGUUUUAAAUUACAGUGGACUGAAUGAUAUUAGCUUUAUUGUAGUUGGACUGACGCUCUGCUUUCUCUUAAUCGUCUUAAUGUUGUGAUUUGUCCCUUAGCCAGCAGUUGCACUGCAUUUAUUUAUAACACUCAAGGUUUAAGUCGAAAGUAACAGAUUGGUUGGAUUGUCUUGUACACAUGGAACACGAUCAAAGCAAUGGACUACUCAGUUAGGGAAAUUCAAGCUUCACUGCAAGGGAGAGCCUAUAUGUUCAAGGCUAGGAUUUUCCUUGCAUAACAGAAAAGAUUGACUCUCAAACAGAUCUAUUCUAAUUUUCCUAGAAGGAAGGCAUUUUUUCCAAGACUUGCAUGCUAUUGUGAGCUACAUAAUCGCAUCCUACUUCAAUUUCUUCUUGAGUAAUCAGGCAAAAGGUUAGCCAUGGAAAUCUGCAAAUUGCUAUGUACUGCAAUUAAUAACAGAUAGCAGAACUCAUUAAUCAUAUCAAGAACUAAUGUCUACUCAGGGCCAAAUCUCAAGUACAUCAUAUGUGAUGUUAAAAUUUCUGAAAACUUGCUUAGUAUGGCUGUUAAACUUGCUUCCAUGUGAAGUUUUGGCAGUUCGUUAGAAAUGUGCUUUUUCUUUAGGAGAAAACAAAUGGAUGUAGGGUUCGUUUUGUUCAGUUGUCAAAAUAAGAAUUUAAAAAAUCAUUCCCAAGGAACAGCAAAAAAUCUGAACACAAGAUUCUGAUUCAAGGAACAGGAGGAAGUCCUUCUACUCUGCUAAGUAUUGGAAGGAUCCCAAGUGAGAUCCACUCUCCAGCUUGACACUACACUUAAAUAAAGUUGCAGACAAAUUGCAGCGUAUACAGGAAAACAAUAAAAGGAAUUUGCUUAAAUACAUGGCAUUUGAAGGAACAAGAACUGCAUGAAGGUGGUGGCGAAAAGAAAUACAACGUGCUAGAAGUCUUCAUCUAUGUGAAAGGCUACAGUAUGGCAGGUUGUUUAGAGAGUGAGAUCAAGAGGCCAUGCCUGCUGCUUCAGGAGAUGGAAGAAAUGACAAGAACUCCAAAGAUAUAGACUCUCCAAGCAUGCUGGAUUGACAGGUCCAUUUUCUGCAUUUAAAACACUGUAAAAACAUUGCAGCAAGCCUGGGAUUUAUUCUUGCACAGGAAAAUAAUUAUGAAUAGCAUACUAUUUGCACAAGUUUUAAAAGGUAUAACUGGGACUCUAUCAUCUUCAUUAGCUUAUCUUUACAGAAAUGUUCAGUAACUAAAUCUUAAAAUUGAGAUCAGAACAAAAAAUGAAAAAUCUGAACACCAUCAGAAAUGCUGAUGUGAGUUGGUCAAGUACUUUUCUAGGUCCACGGCAACUUCAUUUGUUUGUUUUGACUGGAGAAAAAUAGUGGGUAAACUUUUAAAAACAGACCAUAGUUCUAACUUUGAAAAAAAAAAAAAAGAAGAAGAAGAAG